GCCUCCUUUUAUUGAGACAAAUAUGCAAACCAGGCAGAUACAUUUUGGGCUGUGACCUUUACACAUCUUCCGGUCCCGAGAUCAUGGGGUGGUACAAAGUUCUUUUGGCACCUGUUUCCACCACGUCAUUUUCCCCUUGCACAGUGUAUGCCGAAGGAGACAAAAGGACUCAGAGACAAAGGUUACAGAAAGGACACCGCAGACUACUGAGACCGCAAAAGGUUAGACAGACAUAACGAUGUUCAGACAACCGUGGCUUUGUCUGUGAGGGGUGCGUGUGCUCCGCACCCCAAGGUCACAUGUGCAGGCAGGCUGAGGCUGCCUGCGGGCGGGGAGUGUGCUCCCUCCGGACCCCACUCCCCACUCCGCGAUCAUCCCUACACUCCUGUCUUCCACUGCCUCCGCAGUUUGGUCAAACUCAUGUUGGUAGCUUCGACAACACUCUCCAACCAUCUCGUCCUCUGUCGUCCCCUUCCCCUUGUGCCCUCCAUCUUUCCCAACAUCAGGGUCUUUUCCAGGGAGGCUUCUCAUGAUGUGGCAAAAGUAUUGGAGCCUCAGCUUCAGGAUCUGUCCUUCCAGUGAGUUCAAGUAAUCCAAUGUAAUUCCCAUUGUGGGGAGAACCAAAUCUUUCCUCAUCUCCUCUGAAGGUAAACCAUGCUCUGCCAGAGUUAUGAUGCCUGCAACAACUCAUUCAAGAACAUGUUUCCAGUGCUGCCGUUCAUUAUGUAUCUGUUCUGCUAGUUGACAGUCAA
This is a non-coding RNA of Podarcis lilfordi (Lilford's wall lizard), 752 nucleotides long. The record is from the annotation of a GenBank genome assembly. Lineage: Eukaryota; Metazoa; Chordata; Lepidosauria; Squamata; Lacertidae.